RNAcentral lists this ribosomal RNA (408 nucleotides) under uncultured bacterium. RNAcentral's name for it is "partial 16S ribosomal RNA". It matches the Rfam family "Bacterial small subunit ribosomal RNA", at positions 28 to 526 of the family's 1533-position model. The record is from RNAcentral.
GACGAACGCUGGCGGCGUGCUUAACACAUGCAAGUCGAACGAAGUGGCGAACGGGUGAGUAAUACGUGGGUAACCUGCCCUCCUUUUUGGGAUAAGCCUUGGAAACGGGGUCUAAUACCGAAUAAAGGGGGAUGGGCUCGCGGCCUAUCAGCUUGUUGGUGGGGUAGUGGCCUACCAAGGCGACGACGGGUAGCCGGCCUGAGAGGGCGACCGGCCACAUUGGGAAUGAGAUACGGACAAAAUUCCUACGGGAGGCAGAAGUGGGGAAUAUUGCACAAUGGGGGAAACCCUGACCCAGCAACGCAGCGUGAAGGAAGACGGUCUUCGGAUUGUAAACUUCUUUAGACAGGGACGCGGUACCUGUAGAAUAAGCCACGGCUAACUACGUGCCAGCCGCCGCGGUAAUUC